Molecule: long non-coding RNA, 210 nt
Filed under: Prunus persica (peach)
Lineage: Eukaryota; Viridiplantae; Streptophyta; Magnoliopsida; Rosales; Rosaceae
Description: long non-coding RNA (PPER_LNC007649)
Source: RNAcentral
AUAGUUUUAAUAUUUUAGCAUGGUAUCAGAGCCUAGUUCGAUCUAGGGACCUGUGCUUGUGUUCUUCUUGAAAUUUAUGUGCUCUUCUCCCCCCUUGAGAGGGGGGAGGGGGAGUGAAAGGGAUAUGUUUAUUGACCUAUCCCAAUUACCUUGACAUAUUUCCAUGAAGAUGUUGCUUAUUUCUUGACUCCGACGACCCCUUCUCUUCAA